CUGAAUGCUGAACAUUCCAGAAGGCAGCCCUGAAGAUUCUAAACAAUGAAAAAACCCUCCCUAUCGGUGGGACAAAAGUGAAAUUUAACUGAGAUAUCAUUCCUAAUUAUUAAAAGGUAAAAGUUACGUUUUUCCUGAUUUGCAAAGGAUUAUAAUUACGUAACAUUCAGUCUGCGGUAGUUCCUUGGCUGGUAGUCUUGAAGACCAAAGAGUUCCUCACAGGCACAGCGUGGACACAGGACAGAAAUAGGCAUGGGAGCUGAAGCAUGCAGCCCCACUGACCUGUUUCCUCUUGUUAAAAUCAGACUCCUAACUUGGUAGAAAUUGGAUGAAGACUCCUUGUAGCCUAGCUGAUGUGGGUCCUCCACUAGCGGAGGGCUUGAACUGUCUCGGGCCACUGAGCAGCCAUGAGAUGACAACAUGUUUUAAUCACUUUUACAGCAGCUGGACAAGAGCCAGCAAUCUACAGAUAAAGUGCUACAAGUGACUUAACGUACCCAUUAAAUAUGUCUUAUUGUUAGCAGUACUGAAGAUUAAUGAGGAAAAUGAAAGUGAAAAGAUAGCACUGCUGCAAGGGCUCUCAAAUGUUGAGCAAGCCAGUGUCACCAGAAAGCUGUCCAGAAGUUCUUGAGAAAUGGCAAAGUACCAGAAACAAACGUCAAAGCCAUAGAAAAGAACAGGACUACCACAUGGAUACUAAGUACUUAGUGUUCACUUAUUACAAGUGAUAUUACUCUCUUGACUUACUCUUUCAAUACAAGGGUUCUUUGGCAUUGAUA
Pseudopipra pipra is the source of this 779-nucleotide long non-coding RNA. RefSeq lists it as uncharacterized. NCBI's taxonomy places the organism in Eukaryota, Metazoa, Chordata, Aves, Passeriformes, Pipridae. The transcript has 2 exons. The record is from RefSeq and is a predicted model, not a curated record.